Molecule: ribosomal RNA, 253 nt
Filed under: uncultured bacterium
Lineage: Bacteria
Description: partial 16S ribosomal RNA
Rfam family: Bacterial small subunit ribosomal RNA
Source: RNAcentral
UACGAAGGGGGCUAGCGUUGCUCGGAAUCACUGGGCGUAAAGCGCACGUAGGCGGUCUUUUAAGUCAGGGGUGAAAUCCUGGAGCUCAACUCCAGAACUGCCUUCGAUACUGGGAGUCUUGAGUUCGGGAGAGGUGAGUGGAACUGCGAGUGUAGAGGUGAAAUUCGUAGAUAUUCGCAAGAACACCAGUGGCGAAGGCGGCUCACUGGCCCGAUACUGACGCUGAGGUGCGAAAGCGUGGGGAGCAAACAGG